AACAUUUUCAGUUCCAAAACAGAGCCAGAGAAUGAGAUAAGGUCAAAUUUUCAGUUCCAACAUGUUACGAGUUUUCCUUCUGUAUUGAUACUGGAUUUCUCAGUAAGAUGAGUCCCAUUAAAGGCAAGAAAAGGCCUUUAAAAGAGCUCAUUUUCAAGAAAGACAUAACCUCUCCUUUUCUUUUCUAGUCUUUUUUCUGACAAAAAAAUUUGAGGACACAAAGAAGCAUGCGAUAGCAUACAAAGAUCAUCACUAAACCAACGGUGAACAUAUCUUCUCAAGAAAGAGAGUC
This is a long non-coding RNA of Rhodamnia argentea, 292 nucleotides long. RefSeq lists it as uncharacterized. Lineage: Eukaryota; Viridiplantae; Streptophyta; Magnoliopsida; Myrtales; Myrtaceae. The transcript is spliced from 3 exons. The record is from RefSeq and is a predicted model, not a curated record.